GACGAACGCUGGCGGCGUGCUUAACACAUGCAAGUCGAACGGAAAGGCCCUGCUUUUGUGGGGUGCUCGAGUGGCGAACGGGUGAGUAACACGUGAGUAACCUGCCCUUGACUUUGGGAUAACUUCAGGAAACUGGGGCUAAUACCGGAUAGGAGCUCCUGCUGCACGGUGGGGGUUGGAAAGUUUCGGCGGUUGGGGAUGGACUCGCGGCUUAUCAGCUUGUUGGUGGGGUAGUGGCUUACCAAGGUUUUGACGGGUAGCCGGCCUGAGCGGGUGACCGGCCACAUUGGGACUGAGAUACGGCGCAGUAUCCUACGGGAGGCAGCAGUGGGGAAUAUUGCACAAUGGGCGGGAGCCUGAUGCGGCAGCGCCGCGUGCGGGAUGACGGCCUUCGGGUUGUAAACCGCUUUCGCCUGUGACGAAGCGUGAGUGACGGUAAUGGGUAAAGAAGCACCGGCUAACUACGUG
Molecule: ribosomal RNA, 468 nt
Filed under: uncultured bacterium
Lineage: Bacteria
Description: partial 16S ribosomal RNA
Rfam family: Bacterial small subunit ribosomal RNA
Source: RNAcentral